GGCCAGACUCCUACGGGAGGCAGCAGUGGGGAAUAUUGCACAAUGGGGGAAACCCUGAUGCAGCGACGCCGCGUGAGUGAAGAAGUAUUUCGGUAUGUAAAGCUCUAUCAGCAGGGAAGAAAAUGACGGUACCUGACUAAGAAGCCCCGGCUAACUACGUGCCAGCAGCCGCGGUAAUACGUAGGGGGCAAGCGUUAUCCGGAUUUACUGGGUGUAAAGGGAGCGUAGACGGCAUGGCAAGUCAGAUGUGAAAGCCCGGGGCUCAACCCCGGGACUGCAUUUGAAACUGUCAGGCUGGAGUGCAGGAGAGGUAAGUGGAAUUCCUAGUGUAGCGGUGAAAUGCGUAGAUAUUAGGAGGAACACCAGUGGCGAAGGCGGCUUACUGGACUGUAACUGACGUUGAGGCUCGAAAGCGUGGGGAGCAAACAGGAUUAGAUACCCCGGUAA
This 447-nucleotide ribosomal RNA is filed under the name uncultured bacterium. RNAcentral describes it as "bacterial SSU rRNA". It matches the Rfam family "Bacterial small subunit ribosomal RNA", at positions 329 to 793 of the family's 1533-position model. The record is from RNAcentral.